This 256-nucleotide unclassified non-coding RNA is filed under the name plant metagenome. Its description in RNAcentral is "partial contains small subunit ribosomal RNA, internal transcribed spacer 1, and 5.8S ribosomal RNA". The record is from RNAcentral.
UUUCCGUAGGUGAACCUGCGGAAGGAUCAUUAAUGAGAACUAAGGGUAGUAGUCUCGGCUAUUACUCUGAACACUCCACCCUUUGUUUAUAUUACCUUUGUUGCUUUAGCAGGCCCGCUCUCGAGCCGCCGGCACCUGCUGGCUAGUGCCUGCUAAAGAACCUAAAACUCUUGUUAAUAAUAUUGUCUGAGUACUAUAUAAUAGUUAAAACUUUCAACAACGGAUCUCUUGGUUCUGGCAUCGAUGAAAACGCAGC